This 736-nucleotide ribosomal RNA is filed under the name uncultured bacterium. RNAcentral's name for it is "bacterial SSU rRNA". It matches the Rfam family "Bacterial small subunit ribosomal RNA", at positions 8 to 742 of the family's 1533-position model. The record is from RNAcentral.
AGGGUUUGAUCCUGGCUCAGAUUGAACGCUGGCGGCAGGCCUAACACAUGCAAGUCGAGCGAGAAAGCACUUCGGUGCGAGUACAGCGGCGGACGGGUGAGUAACGCGUAGGAAUCUACCCAGUGGUGGGGGACAACUUGGGGAAACCCAAGCUAAUACCGCAUACGCCCUACGGGGGAAAGCGGGGGACCUUCGGGCCUCGCGCCAUUGGAUGAGCCUGCGUUGGAUUAGCUAGUUGGUGGGGUAAAGGCCCACCAAGGCGACGAUCCAUAGCUGGUCUGAGAGGAUGAUCAGCCACACUGGGACUGAGACACGGCCCAGACUCCUACGGGAGGCAGCAGUGGGGAAUAUUGCGCAAUGGGCGAAAGCCUGACGCAGCCAUGCCGCGUGUGUGAAGAAGGCCCUAGGGUUGUAAAGCACUUUCAAUUGGGAAGAAAAGCUUGUCAUUAAUAGUGGCAAGCCCUGACAUUACCUUUAGAAGAAGCACCGGCUAACUCCGUGCCAGCAGCCGCGGUAAUACGGAGGGUGCAAGCGUUAAUCGGAAUUACUGGGCGUAAAGCGCGCGUAGGCGGUUGUUUAAGUCGGAUGUGAAAGCCCUGGGCUCAACCUGGGAACUGCAUUCGAUACUGGGCAACUUGAGUACGAGAGAGGGAGGUAGAAUUCCACGUGUAGCGGUGAAAUGCGUAGAUAUGUGGAGGAAUACCGGUGGCGAAGGCGGCCUCCUGGCUCGAUACUG